AGUGAACGCUGGCGGUAGGCCUAACACAUGCAAGUCGAACGGCAGCACAGUAAGAGCUUGCUCUUACGGGUGGCGAGUGGCGGACGGGUGAGGAAUACAUCGGAAUCUACUUUUUCGUGGGGGAUAACGUAGGGAAACUUACGCUAUACCGCAUACGACCCACGGGGGAAAGCAGGGGAUUCUCGGACCUUUGGCGAUUGAAUGAGCCGAUGUCGGAUUUGCUAGUUGGCGGGGUAAAGGCCCACCAAGGCGAUGAUCCGUAGCUGGUCUGAGAGGAUGAUCAGCCACACUGGAACUGAGACACGGUCCAGACUCCUACGGGAGGCAGCAGUGGGGAAUAUUGGACAAUGGGCGCAAGCCUGAUCCAGCCAUACCGCGUGGGUGAAGAAGGCCUUCGGGUUGUAAAGCCCUUUUGUUGGGAAAGAAAAGCAGCAGGUUAAUACCCCGCUGUUCUGACGGUACCCAAAGAAUAAGCACCGGCUAACUUCGUG
Molecule: ribosomal RNA, 491 nt
Filed under: uncultured bacterium
Lineage: Bacteria
Description: partial 16S ribosomal RNA
Rfam family: Bacterial small subunit ribosomal RNA
Source: RNAcentral